Podarcis lilfordi (Lilford's wall lizard) is the source of this 80-nucleotide non-coding RNA. Lineage: Eukaryota; Metazoa; Chordata; Lepidosauria; Squamata; Lacertidae. The record is from the annotation of a GenBank genome assembly.
GCUACCCUGGAUCGCUCAGUUGGUUAGAGCGCAGCGCUGACAACACUAAGGUUGCAGGUUCGAUCCUUGUAUGGGCAGCU